Molecule: ribosomal RNA, 253 nt
Filed under: uncultured bacterium
Lineage: Bacteria
Description: partial 16S ribosomal RNA
Rfam family: Bacterial small subunit ribosomal RNA
Source: RNAcentral
UACGGAGGGUGCAAGCGUUGUUCGGAAUUACUGGGCGUAAAGCGCGCGUAGGCGGUUAUUCAAGUUGGGAGUGAAAGCCCAGGGCUCAACCCUGGAACUGCUUCCAAAACUGUUUAACUAGAGUAUGGUAGAGGAUAGUGGAAUUCCUAGUGUAGGGGUGAAAUCCGUAGAUAUUAGGAGGAACACCAGAAGCGAAGGCGACUAUCUGGGCCAUUACUGACGCUAAGGCGCGAAAGCGUGGGGAGCAAACGGG